AGAGUUUGAUCAUGGCUCAGGAUGAACGCUAGCGGCAGGCCUAAUACAUGCAAGUCGGACGGGAUCCAGCUGGUAGCUUGCUACCGGUUGGUGAGAGUGGCGCACGGGUGCGUAACGCGUGAGCAACCUACCCAUAUCAGGGGGAUAGCCCGAAGAAAUUCGGAUUAACACCGCAUGACACAGAUUGACCGCAUGGUUGAUUUGUCAAAUAUUCAUAGGAUAUGGAUGGGCUCGCGUGACAUUAGCUAGUUGGUGGGGUAACGGCCCACCAAGGCGACGAUGUCUAGGGGCUCUGAGAGGAGAAUCCCCCACACUGGUACUGAGACACGGACCAGACUCCUACGGGAGGCAGCAGUAAGGAAUAUUGGUCAAUGGGGGCAACCCUGAACCAGCCAUGCCGCGUGCAGGAUGACUGCCCUAUGGGUUGUAAACUGCUUUUGUUAGGGAAUAAACCCCACUACGUGUAGUGGGCUGAAUGUACCUAAAGAAUAAGGAUCGGCUAACUCCGUGCCAGCCGCCGCGGUAAUAC
RNAcentral lists this ribosomal RNA (529 nucleotides) under uncultured bacterium. RNAcentral describes it as "bacterial SSU rRNA". It matches the Rfam family "Bacterial small subunit ribosomal RNA", at positions 8 to 526 of the family's 1533-position model. The record is from RNAcentral.